Molecule: ribosomal RNA, 464 nt
Filed under: uncultured bacterium
Lineage: Bacteria
Description: partial 16S ribosomal RNA
Rfam family: Bacterial small subunit ribosomal RNA
Source: RNAcentral
CUACGGGCUGCUCCAGUGGGGAAUAUUGCACAAUGGGCGCAAGCCUGAUGCAGCCAUGCCGCGUGUAUGAAGAAGGCCUUCGGGUUGUAAAGUACUUUCAGCGGGGAGGAAGGGAGUAAAGUUAAUACCUUUGCUCAUUGACGUUACCCGCAGAAGAAGCACCGGCUAACUCCGUGCCAGCAGCCGCGGUAAUACGGAGGGUGCAAGCGUUAAUCGGAAUUACUGGGCGUAAAGCGCACGCAGGCGGUUUGUUAAGUCAGAUGGGAAAUCCCCGGGCUCAACCUGGGAACUGCAUCUGAUACUGGCAAGCUUGAGUCUCGUAGAGGGGGGUAGAAUUCCAGGUGUAGCGGUGAAAUGCGUAGAGAUCUGGAGGAAUACCGGUGGCGAAGGCGGCCCCCUGGACGAAGACUGACGCUCAGGUGCGAAAGCGUGGGGAGCAAACAGGAUUAGAUACCCCCGUAGUC